This 31-nucleotide non-coding RNA is filed under the name unclassified sequences. The record is from RNAcentral.
CUAUGAUGUUUUUAUGUCAUGGCGGAAGGAG